CCUACGGGAGGCAGCAGUCGAGAAUCAUUCGCAAUGGGGGCAACCCUGAUGGUGCAACGCCGCGUGAGGGAAUGAAGGUCUUCGGUUUUUAAACCCCUGUCAUAUGGACGCAAAUUAAAACGAUAGUACCACAAUAAGAAGAGACGACUAACUCUGUGCCAGCAGCCGCGGUAAUACAGAGGUAUCAAGCGUUGGCCGGAAUCAGUGGUCGUAAAGGGUGCGGAGGCUGGUGCGCAAGUCGGAUGUGAAAGGUGCGGGCUCAACCCGCGUCCGGCACAUGAUACUGCGAGACUAGAGUGAUGGAGGGGCAAUCGGAAUUCCCGGUGUAGCAGUGAAAUGCGUAGAUAUAGAGAGGAACACUCGUGGCGAAGGCGGGUUGCUGGACAGUAACUGACGCUGAGGCACGAAGGCGAGGGGAGCGAAAGGGAUUAGAUACCCUAGUAGUC
This 446-nucleotide ribosomal RNA is filed under the name uncultured bacterium. RNAcentral describes it as "partial 16S ribosomal RNA". It matches the Rfam family "Bacterial small subunit ribosomal RNA", at positions 338 to 795 of the family's 1533-position model. The record is from RNAcentral.